Anser cygnoides (Swan goose) is the source of this 696-nucleotide long non-coding RNA. The record is from Ensembl. NCBI's taxonomy places the organism in Eukaryota, Metazoa, Chordata, Aves, Anseriformes, Anatidae.
AUGAACUGCUUUUAUUGCCGUUUAAUAGACUGGCAGCUUUUCUUUAGUGAACUUGCCCUGCUAACAGGUGUUGAUCCUUCUGGGAGAUGCAGUGAUGACUCACUGCAGCAGAUGGGGCUCCUGAACUCUACCCUGCUUGCACCAGAGAUAGGAGAGCCUCUCUGGAAGACAGACACAAGCAAUAUGUUAGAAAUUUCACAAGAGCAUCCUAAGCUACAUGGAAGAGUCCAAACAUUGCCAGGAGAUCUGACUGAGUCUUUGAAGCAGUCUAGCUUCUACAUGUAUGCAUCACUAAGAUGGGUUAGUUUUACUAGGACGGAGAACAUACACAGUUAGAAGACAAUCCAGAAGAACAGUGAAGAUUUUUCUGUGUGCACUCUUCAUUCUGUCACUGCCCAAUUUUUCUCACCACAGUGCUAGACUCAUCCUUUAUUGCACCGGUGUAUUGUAUUCUGAAGAAGAUAUUGUAUUGUUCUGUCAAUACAGCAUGUUCCUUCAAGCUCAGUGUAUCUUUUUGGUAAAUAAUAUAUAUAAAGCCUCGGCCCUUUUUCAUUUGUGCUAUUAUUGAUUUUUUAUUGAGUCCUCAGAAUUUCCAAUAGUUCUUCAUCACAAGCUCAACUUACAAGGCACAGUUUGAGAUUUAAAAAAAUGUAAAAUUGAAAUAAAUAAAUAAAUAAAUAAUCUUGAAUAACCUUC